Molecule: transfer RNA, 74 nt
Filed under: Candidatus Zambryskibacteria bacterium RIFCSPHIGHO2_01_FULL_49_18
Lineage: Bacteria; Candidatus Zambryskiibacteriota
Also listed under: 1 other name
Description: tRNA-Gly
Rfam family: tRNA
About the family: Transfer RNA (tRNA) molecules are approximately 80 nucleotides in length. Their secondary structure includes four short double-helical elements and three loops (D, anti-codon, and T loops). Further hydrogen bonds mediate the characteristic L-shaped molecular structure. tRNAs have two regions of fundamental functional importance: the anti-codon, which is responsible for specific mRNA codon recognition, and the 3' end, to which the tRNAs corresponding amino acid is attached (by aminoacyl-tRNA synthetases). tRNAs cope with the degeneracy of the genetic code in two manners: having more than one tRNA (with a specific anti-codon) for a particular amino acid; and 'wobble' base-pairing, i.e. permitting non-standard base-pairing at the 3rd anti-codon position.
Source: RNAcentral
GCGGCCAUGGUUUAGUGGUAGAACGCGUCCUUGCCAAGGACGAGACGGGAGUUCGAUUCUCCCUAGCCGCACCA